UACGGAGGAUGCGAGCGUUAUCCGGAUUUAUUGGGUUUAAAGGGUGCGUAGGCGGAAUAUCAAGUCAGCGGUAAAAAUUCGGGGCUCAACCCCGGGGCUGCCGUUGAAACCGGAGCGCUAGAAUUCCGAUGCCGUCGGAGGAAUGUGUGGUGUAGCGGUGAAAUGCAUAGAUAUCACACAGAACACCGAUUGCGAAGGCAUCUGACGAAUCGGAGAUUGACGCUGAUGCACGAAAGCGUGGGUAUCGAACAGG
This 253-nucleotide ribosomal RNA is filed under the name uncultured bacterium. Its description in RNAcentral is "partial 16S ribosomal RNA". It matches the Rfam family "Bacterial small subunit ribosomal RNA", at positions 524 to 776 of the family's 1533-position model. The record is from RNAcentral.